CAUUUUUCUGAUCAUCUUCAGAUCAGCUAUUGCAGAAGAAAGGUCAGCCAAGCGCUCUGGGCCUGAUCGACUGUAUAUAGGAGCUUCUGAUUUCAACCAGAAGCUAACUCUCUCCGAAACAAUGAGUUAUACAACUUAUUUCUUAGCUUUUCAGCUUUGCGUGACU
Sus scrofa (pig) is the source of this 166-nucleotide non-coding RNA. Lineage: Eukaryota; Metazoa; Chordata; Mammalia; Artiodactyla; Suidae. The record is from Rfam.